This 406-nucleotide ribosomal RNA is filed under the name uncultured bacterium. RNAcentral describes it as "partial 16S ribosomal RNA". It matches the Rfam family "Bacterial small subunit ribosomal RNA", at positions 30 to 526 of the family's 1533-position model. The record is from RNAcentral.
AUUGAACGCUGGCGGCAGGCCUAACACAUGCAAGUCGAACGAGUGGCGGACGGGUGAGUAAUGUCUGGGAAACUGCCCGAUGGAGGGGGAUAACUACUGGAAACGGUAGCUAAUACCGCAUAUCAUCGGACGUGCCAAGGUGGGAUUAGCUAGUAGGUGGGGUAACGGCUCACUUAGGCGACGAUCCCUAGCUGGUCUGAGAGGAUGACCAGCCACACUGGAAAUGAGACACGGCCCAGACUCCUACGAGAGGCAGCAGUAGGGAAUAUUGCACAAUGGGCGCAAGCCUGAUGCAGCCAUGCCGCGUGAAUGAAGAAGGCCUUCGGGUUGUAAAGUACUGUCGUCGGGGAAGCGGUAAUCGCAGAGGAAGCAACGGCUAACUACGUGCCAGCAGCCGCGGUAAUAC